Molecule: unclassified non-coding RNA, 196 nt
Filed under: uncultured fungus
Lineage: Eukaryota; Fungi
Description: sequence contains ITS1
Source: RNAcentral
UUAAUUGAUUCACAGAUCAUGUCAGAAAAACAUAUACUACAUGGUAAUACAGAUUGUUACAAACAAAAGCCAUCCACCAGCAGCAAGUGCAGGGUGGAAGCAACAUGGUACAAGGUCAACAUAAGGGUAUUUAAUCAUACUAUGAUUUACCAAAGUAAUUUCAAUAAUGAUCCUUCCGCAGGUUCACCUACGGAAA